GACGAACGCUGGCGGCGUGCUUAACACAUGCAAGUCGUACGGUAAGGCCCUUUCGGGGGUGCACGAGUGGCGAACGGGUGAGUAACACGUGAGUAACCUGCCCACAACUUUGGGAUAACGCUAGGAAACUGGUGCCAAUACUGGGUAUGUGCUCCUGCUGCAUGGGGGGGGUUGGAAAGCUCCGGCGGUUGUGGAUGGACUCGCGGCCUAUCAGCUUGUUGGUGGGGUAGUGGCCUACCCAGGCGGCGACGGGGAGCCGGCCUGGGGGGGUGACCGGCCACCUCGGGACUGGGAUACCGCCCCGACUCCUACGGGGGGCCGGAGUUGGGGAUUUUUCCCCAUGGGCCCCAGCCUGAUGCAGCCCCGCCGCGGGCGGGAUGGCGGCCUUCGGGUUGUAAACCGCCUUCCGCAGGGACGAAGCUUUUUGUGACGGUACCUGCAGAAGAAGCACCGGCUAACUACGUG
Molecule: ribosomal RNA, 465 nt
Filed under: uncultured bacterium
Lineage: Bacteria
Description: partial 16S ribosomal RNA
Rfam family: Bacterial small subunit ribosomal RNA
Source: RNAcentral